RNAcentral lists this ribosomal RNA (445 nucleotides) under uncultured bacterium. RNAcentral describes it as "bacterial SSU rRNA". It matches the Rfam family "Bacterial small subunit ribosomal RNA", at positions 330 to 792 of the family's 1533-position model. The record is from RNAcentral.
ACCAGACUCCUACGGGAGGCAGCAGUGGGGAAUAUUGCACAAUGGGCGAAAGCCUGAUGCAGCGACGCCGCGUGAGUGAAGAAGUAAUUCGUUACGUAAAGCUCUGUCAGCAGGGAGGAAAAUGACGGUACCUGACCAAGAAGCCCCGGCUAACUACGUGCCAGCAGCCGCGGUAAUACGUAGGGGGCGAGCGUUAUCCGGAUUUACUGGGUGUAAAGGGAGCGUAGACGGCCAUGCAAGCUCGGUGUGAAAGGUGCGGGCACAACCCGCAGACUGCACUGAGAACUGUAUGGCUGGAGUGCCGGAGGGGCAGGCGGAAUUCCUGGUGUAGCGGUGAAAUGCGUAGAUAUCAGGAGGAACACCGGUGGCGAAGGCGGCCUGCUGGACGGCGACUGACGUUGAGGCUCGAAAGCGUGGGGAGCGAACAGGAUUAGAUACCCCAGUA